Molecule: ribosomal RNA, 155 nt
Filed under: uncultured Bacteroidota bacterium
Lineage: Bacteria; Pseudomonadati; Bacteroidota
Description: uncultured Bacteroidetes bacterium partial 16S ribosomal RNA
Source: RNAcentral
CACGGAGUUAGCCGAUCCUUAUUCUUACGGUACCAUCAGCCUCCUUAGAAAAGGAGGGUUUUUUCCCGUACAAAAGCAGUUUACAAUCCGUAGGACCUUCAUCCUGCACGCGGCAUGGCUGGUUCAGGCUUGCGCCCAUUGACCAAUAUUCCUUA